AGAUAUCAGUAUGACAACAUCUGGCCCUGAUUUGCAGUGGCCCCUGACAGGCUUGUAACCAAACAUGCUUGGUGAGUUAUGUUUGUAUAAAAGAAUGGGAGGUAAUCCAUCCAGUAGAGGUCAGGAUUCACAGUGUCUGCCAAGGCGAACUGCCGCUGGCUGCUGAUUGUACCAGGCGAAGGUCAGGAGGGACAACGGUCGAACCUGGCCGAGAUGAAUGAUUCAAGCAUCGAUGAGGUUAGAAAGAGUGUGUUAGAAGCAAGUCUGAUCUUCACGGGAAGCUCACAUGCCGAGCUGUCAGUGGAGAUUUGUGUUGAGUGAAGAGCACAAGAGAUGUGAUUUGGUUUUAAAGGAUUGUGGAGAUCUCAGCAACAUUGCAACCCUUCCCAUGCCCUGACAAAGCUGUGUGUAGUUGCACAUGUUUGUGUGUCUCUGCACACUUGCACUUUAGAGAUAAAUCUGACAGACAUUGAUUGACGUUUCUUUUUUUUUUGGUCAGUGGAAGACCAUCUGAGUUCAAUUUCAAAACUGAAUGAGUAGUCUCACUAUCAACUACACAGCUACUUUCUAAGGGCAGUUAUGUUCUGCUGCAUUAAAUAUAUAUUUUUUUUUUGGUAAGCAGAGUUAUGCAUUGUAGGAUUGCCUUUUCUAUGAAAUAUACUUGCAAUGCUGUGUUUAAAGCGAGAGCUUCUGUCAGCUUUGUGUUCUUUUAGCAUUGUUUAAGUUUCUUCUUUCAUUGAUCGAUUUAAAAGUCCAUAUUAGUUUAUUGGCUGUCGGGGUAUCUGAUGCUUUUUCCUUGGAACUUCUACAUGCAUUAAAAUGAAACAAUCAUACAAUAUGAAUGAAGGCAA
Molecule: long non-coding RNA, 851 nt
Organism: Misgurnus anguillicaudatus (oriental weatherfish)
Lineage: Eukaryota; Metazoa; Chordata; Actinopteri; Cypriniformes; Cobitidae
Source: RefSeq, a predicted model, not a curated record